GUACACUCCUGCGGGAGGCAGCAGUGGGGAAUAUUGCACAAUGGGCGCAAGCCUGAUGCAGCCAUGCCGCGUGUAUGAAGAAGGCCUUCGGGUUGUAAAGUACUUUCAGCGGGGAGGAAGGCAAUACGGUUAAUAACCGUGUUGAUUGACGUUACCCGCAGAAGAAGCACCGGCUAACUCCGUGCCAGCAGCCGCGGUAAUACGGAGGGUGCAAGCGUUAAUCGGAAUUACUGGGCGUAAAGCGCACGCAGGCGGUCUGUCAAGUCGGAUGUGAAAUCCCCGGGCUCAACCUGGGAACUGCAUUCGAAACUGGCAGGCUUGAGUCUUGUAGAGGGGGGUAGAAUUCCAGGUGGAGCGGUGAAAUGCGUAGAGAUCUGGAGGAAUACCGGUGGCGAAGGCGGCCCCCUGGACAAAGACUGACGCUCAGGUGCGAAAGCGUGGGGAGCAAACAGGAUUAGAUACCCCGGUAGUCCC
RNAcentral lists this ribosomal RNA (474 nucleotides) under uncultured organism. RNAcentral describes it as "partial 16S ribosomal RNA". It matches the Rfam family "Bacterial small subunit ribosomal RNA", at positions 331 to 797 of the family's 1533-position model. The record is from RNAcentral.